UACGGAGGGUGCAAGCGUUAUCCGGAUUCACUGGGUUUAAAGGGUGCGUAGGCGGGCAGGUAAGUCAGACGUGAAAUCCCUCAGCUUAACUGGGGAACUGCGUCUGAUACUGGUUGGCUUGAGUGCAGGAGAGGAACGCGGAAUUCCAGGUGUAGCGGUGAAAUGCGUAGAUAUCUGGAGGAACACCGGUGGCGAAGGCGGCGUUCUGGACUGCAACUGACACUGAGGAACGAAAGCCAGGGGAGCAAACGGG
This 253-nucleotide ribosomal RNA is filed under the name uncultured bacterium. RNAcentral describes it as "partial 16S ribosomal RNA". It matches the Rfam family "Bacterial small subunit ribosomal RNA", at positions 524 to 776 of the family's 1533-position model. The record is from RNAcentral.